RNAcentral lists this unclassified non-coding RNA (602 nucleotides) under Hevea brasiliensis (rubber tree). Lineage: Eukaryota; Viridiplantae; Streptophyta; Magnoliopsida; Malpighiales; Euphorbiaceae. The record is from RNAcentral.
UUCUUGAUAUUUCUUGAAUGCCUUACAUCUAGCCUUCUAGUUGUAUUUAUACAGCUUAUUGUAACCAUCUGUAACAACCUAAGAAGCUGCUACAAUUCUAACUACUUUCAGACAUCCCUAAAUGCUGUUAUUGACUUUUCCUGAAUCUAAUCCUCCUGUAUUAUACUACCCAUUUCUGCCUGUUUCUGAUACUUCGACAUGUUUGUGGACACCAAUGUUUGCAUUGUGUGGAUUUAUUUCCUGUAAUUUAAAUCCUGCAUAAAUUUGAGCUUUAAUGUCGUGAUGAAGCUGCCAUGCACAAGCUUAUCCAUAGACACAAGAUAUACAUCUCUUUCUCCUGAGCUAUUUACUGAGAUACAUCCACCUUUUCUGUGUUGUCUUGUUCUCUUAUUCUUUUUAGUGUUCUAUUUAUGUUUGUAUUUUUAAUUUCUGGUGAAGAGAACUCAGUGGCUUAACUCUUACGUAGGACUUUUUCCUUUUUAUUCACUAAAAAGGUAUUUACUUAAUUUGAUUCAUAGCUGAAUAGGUUAGUCAAGCAUGUCAUUCCUUUGACAACCAUGUGCUGCCUAAUCUAUUUCAGGCGGAUGUAAUAAUGGCCUUAG